This 497-nucleotide ribosomal RNA is filed under the name uncultured bacterium. RNAcentral's name for it is "partial 16S ribosomal RNA". It matches the Rfam family "Bacterial small subunit ribosomal RNA", at positions 28 to 507 of the family's 1533-position model. The record is from RNAcentral.
GAUGAACGCUGGCGGCGUGCCUAAUACAUGCAAGUCGAGCGAACGGACGAGAAGCUUGCUUCUCUGAUGUUAGCGGCGGACAGGUGAGUAACACGUGGAUAACCUACCUAUAAGACUGGGAUAACUUCGGGAAACCGGAGCUAAUACCGGAUAAUAUUUUGAACCGCAUGGCUCAAAAGUGAAAGACGGUCUUGCUGUCACUUAUAGAUGGAUCCGCGCUGCAUUAGCUAGUUGGUAAGGUAACGGCUUACCAAGGCAACGAUGCAUAGCCGACCUGAGAGGGUGAUCGGCCACACUGGAACUGAGACACGGUCCAGACUCCUACGGGAGGCAGCAGUAGGGAAUCUUCUGCAAUGGGCGAAAGCCUGACGGAGCAACGCCGCGUGAGUGAUGAAGGUCUUCGGAUCGUAAAACUCUGUUAUUAGGGAAGAACAUAUGUGUAAGUAACUGUGCACAUCUUGACGGUACCUAAUCAGAAAGCCACGGCUAACUACGUG